Molecule: ribosomal RNA, 301 nt
Filed under: uncultured bacterium
Lineage: Bacteria
Description: partial 16S ribosomal RNA
Rfam family: Bacterial small subunit ribosomal RNA
Source: RNAcentral
CAGUCGCCACGGUAAAACGGAGGGUGCAAGCGUUAAUCGGAAUUACUGGGCGUAAAGCGCACGCAGGCGGUCUGACAAGUCAGAUGUGAAAUCCCCGGGCUUAACCUGGGAACUGCAUUUGAAACUGUCAGGCUGGAGUCUUGUAGAGGGGGGUAGAAUUCCAGGUGUAGCGGUGAAAUGCGUAGAGAUCUGGAGGAAUACCGGUGGCGAAGGCGGCCCCCUGGACAAAGACUGACGCUCAGGUGCGAAAGCGUGGGGAGCAAACAGGAUUAGAUACCCCGGUAGUCCCUGUCUCUUAUAA